Molecule: long non-coding RNA, 775 nt
Filed under: Mytilus galloprovincialis (Mediterranean mussel)
Lineage: Eukaryota; Metazoa; Mollusca; Bivalvia; Mytilida; Mytilidae
Source: RNAcentral
AUCUGAUUUCACAUUUUGAAAUGUUCAUCUGUCUUGACAUAGUUGAACGACUUCAAACUAGAAAGUAUGGCGCAAUGGUCAUUUCAACUUUUCAGCUGUCAACUUAUCAUUUCUCGGCAGUAAAAUAUUUUCUUUCGAGCCAUAUCUUGUUUACAUAUCUGAUACUUGCCCUAGUGCAUUUCAAUACUGCCUCUUCUUCGUAAACAAGGAUAAUCUCCUUACAAAAACAUAGCUCUAACUCGAUGUGUUAAAGAACGAUUAAAAUCAACACAAUAUAAGUUUAAGGUUUACACCAAGCAUUGGUUGAACAAUAUGAUAUGUCUUUGUCUCACCUCAUAGGCAGCAUAACAUUUGCGAUCUUUUAUAUUUGAAAACCGUGUCGGUGCUUUUUACAGUUGACUUAACGGUUUCGGUGAUUUUCAUAGUUGAAGCCGCUCGUUGGACUAUACGUGCUUACAUUCACCUCAUGUUUCAACUUUGGUUGUUAGUUGUCUAAUUUUAAAUCGUAUCACUUCUCUGUAUUAUUAUAGUUUAUAAGGUGAUAUCUUUUUUUUAUAGUUCAUCUUCAUUUAAAAACACAGCAAGAAUAUUUUAAAGGACAAACCCGUAUAAUCACGUUGAAGUACGAUAAUUUGACGCUGAAUGACUAUUGUGUGACGCUGAAGUAAGAGUUUUGACGCUUCAUGACGAUUGUUUGACGCUGAAAUACGAUUCGUACGCUAAAAUACGAUUGUAUAACCAUGAAGUACCAUUGUUUGAUACUAAAGUACGGCUG